UACGUAGGGGGCGAGCGUUGUCCGGAUUUAUUGGGCGUAAAGAGCGUGUAGGCGGCCAGGUAGGUCCGUUGUGAAAACUCGAGGCUCAACCUCGAGACGUCGAUGGAAACCAUCUGGCUAGAGUCCGGAAGAGGAGAGUGGAAUUCCUGGUGUAGCGGUGAAAUGCGCAGAUAUCAGGAGGAACACCGGUGGCGAAGGCGGGUCUCUGGGCCGUAACUGACGCUGAGGAGCGAAAGCGUGGGGAGCGAACAGG
This 253-nucleotide ribosomal RNA is filed under the name uncultured bacterium. RNAcentral's name for it is "partial 16S ribosomal RNA". It matches the Rfam family "Bacterial small subunit ribosomal RNA", at positions 524 to 776 of the family's 1533-position model. The record is from RNAcentral.